This 250-nucleotide long non-coding RNA is filed under the name Homo sapiens (human). RNAcentral describes it as "HSALNT0320392". The record is from RNAcentral. Lineage: Eukaryota; Metazoa; Chordata; Mammalia; Primates; Hominidae.
UCUCCCCCACCCCCUGCCACCCAUCCCAGAAGAGUCAGGCCGGAGAGCCAGCCGGUAGGUGAGGUUGGCGGCGAACCGAGCCGGCAGCGAACUGCUCUGCGGCCGGGGAAGUGGAAGGCAGUAAUACUUGCCACAAGAGGGUGAACAAGAAAGGAUGGAAGCUACUGCUUCGUGCUGAUGACAUAAUGCUAUCAGAUGACAAAGAAAAGGCUGGAGUGCAGCGGUGCGAUCUCGGCUCACUGUAACCUCU